GACUAUAUGACACUAGCCUUGCACGCUGGAGGUUCCGGGUUCGAUUCCCGGUGGUGUCG
This 59-nucleotide transfer RNA is filed under the name Diaphorina citri (Asian citrus psyllid). It matches the Rfam family "tRNA", at positions 15 to 71 of the family's 71-position model. Rfam says of the family: Transfer RNA (tRNA) molecules are approximately 80 nucleotides in length. Their secondary structure includes four short double-helical elements and three loops (D, anti-codon, and T loops). Lineage: Eukaryota; Metazoa; Arthropoda; Insecta; Hemiptera; Psyllidae. The record is from Rfam by way of RNAcentral.